Molecule: non-coding RNA, 774 nt
Filed under: Junonia evarete flirtea
Lineage: Eukaryota; Metazoa; Arthropoda; Insecta; Lepidoptera; Nymphalidae
Source: RNAcentral
AUAAAAUAAUUAUGUUUUUGGAAAUUUAUUAUAAAUUUAUUUUACAUAUAAAUUUUAGUAUAUAAUUUUAAUUAUUUAAAUAAUAAUUAAUUUAUUUUUGUAGUAAUUAAUAUUAAAAAUUUAAGAAAUUAAGAUUUAGUAAUAUAAAAAUUAAUAACUAAUUUUGUGCCAGCAGUUGCGGUUAAACAAAAGUUAAAUUAAAUUAUUUCAGUAUAUAAUAAAUAAUUAAUUUAUUAAAAUAAAUAUUAAAUUAUUAAGUGAAAUUUUAAUUUAAUUAAAUUUUAUUUUAAAAUUAUGAUUUAAUAAAUUUUAAUAUAAACUAGGAUUAGAUACCCUAUUAUUAAAAAUUUAAUUUAUAAUACUAAAAUAGUAAAUAAUAAUUUAUUGAAACUUAAAUAACAUGGCGGUAUUUUAGUUCAUUUAGAGGAAUCUGUCUAAUAAUUGAUAAUCCACGAAUAAAUUUACUUAAUUUAUAAUUUUGUAUAUCAUUGUUAAAAAAAUAUUUUUUAGGAAAAAUAAUAUUUAAAAAUUAUAAUAAAAAAUUAAAUCAGAUCAAGAUGCAGAAUAUAAUUAAGAAUAUGAUGGAUUACAUUAAAUAUAUUUAUAUGAAUAAUUUUAUUGUAAUAAAAAUUUGAAGGUGGAUUUAAAUGUAAUUUUAAUUAGUUUAUUAAAAUGAUUAAAAAUUAAAAUAUGUACAUAUUGCCCGUCACUUUCAUUUAAAAAUUGAAAUAAGUCGUAACAAAGUAGAGGUACUGGAAAGUGUUUCUAGAAAGA